Molecule: long non-coding RNA, 3686 nt
Filed under: Acanthaster planci (crown-of-thorns starfish)
Lineage: Eukaryota; Metazoa; Echinodermata; Asteroidea; Valvatida; Acanthasteridae
Description: uncharacterized LOC110990536
Source: RNAcentral
GUAGUGAAAAAAAAAACUGUUAUUAGUUUUUAUCAAUAAAUUAUUUUUUAAUUAAGACAAUACAUCUGCAACUAAGUAUGGAGUAGAAUUUUCCAAGUCUUACAUUUCAUGACUUUGUAAAAAAUACCUCAAUCCAUAACAUAAAAGUGAUAAAAAAAUGUGUAUUGAAAAAGCUGGUAUUUUCGAACGCGUUUAUCUCGGAUUGUCUGUUCGCCAUAUUUGGAGGUCUUUAUCAGUUCGUGACAACACCGACAACGAAUUCAAACACCUCAAUGGUAAGUGGUGGAUUCAUGUUCCGACCUUUAAUUAUAUGCAAAAUAGGUCACAUGGGACCAAUCCCUGCGUUGUGGUUGGUCAAACUUAAACUGUCUGUUUUUCGUAAACAUAGGGCGUUGGCUGACGAUGAAAGAGCUACAGUCAUUCACACUCAGUGGAUAGCUCUGACUAAACAGCUCAAGAUUCUUGACUGCCAGGAAAAUUGAAGUUAUCCGAUCGCUUUGGUAAAUAGGGCGUUGGCUGACGGUGAAAAAGCUACAGUCAUUCACACUCAGUGGAUAGCUCUGACUAAACAGCUCAAGAUUCUUGACUGCCAGGAAAAUUGAAGUUAUCCGAUCGCUUUGGUAAAUAGGUAGCAGGAAGAGCUCAAUGGAAUUCGUGGAAAUAUCUACAGUUGUGAACCAGCAAUAUUCCUACGCUGGGAGUGGAGACACUCUGAAAAAUAUACCUGCGCUCUUGUCGCUCUUUCAGAACCACAUGCGUGAGCCUAACGUAGAAUGCUUGGUGAAGAUAAUCGAAAAUAUUGGCAAGUUAGAGUUCAAACCUCAGGAGAGCGAACAGCAUCAUCUCAUGCGGGAUUUCGAGCUCAAACGCCUGCUGAUCUUUCACGAGAUAUCAAAGCUUGGUUUCCAGAUGAUUGCGGCCACCAGUGCUUUCGCCCCAGACGGGAAACAGGAACUGCGGUGGACUUUCGCCCUGAAGGUCCUUUAGGAAAAUAAUGCAAAGAAAUCCCUGAAUGUGGUAAUUUCGGUUGAAAGCGAUACUACAGUUGUGUAGUUUAUAGCCUGUUAAAUUGGAUGCACCUCUUCAAAAUGUGUUUAACAACCUUCUAUCAGCCUGAUUUAUAUCUUGUUAUAACCACCUAGUAAUUUUCACGCGUUAUUAUGUCGUACUUAUAAAUCUGGGUGUCAAACACUCCGCCAUCUAUCACUUUGCCCACGCGCCACUUCGCCCCACGCAAUAUUUCGCGUAGUAAUACUGCUCGCCCUGAUUCCACAGGCGGGUAGGCCUAGCUGUGAUUAACUUUUUAAAAAAAAAUCGGCAUCUUUUCAUCGGGUUUAGUGCGUGGGUGUUUUUUCGGAUAGAAUAAUCGUUCCAAUAAUAGCACGUAAAAUGGUUUCUGUUAGUGCUCCAAAGUUUGACAGUAGCACAGACUGCGAUCUCAUACGGAAAUAAAAUACGGAAAAUACCUAAAUGCACAGAUGCUACUCAAACCCAGUGAUAUAUUACAGAUUUUCUUCCAGGCUGUCAAAACUGGGAACGUAAUUUGUGUUGCCAACAAUAUGGGCCUUGGUCAAGGGUAUAUUUUUAAAUGAAUCUCUUGGUUUCGGCAAAGCGUUGUUGUCAAUAACAUAAAACAAAUACUUCGUGCUAUUUGACAGUGCCCGUUUUUCAUCAGUUAAUCGACAUUCAAACUGAGGAUGUGGAUAUGUUCAUGUAACACUAUUAGGGUUAUUCAAUAGGAUAAGGAGUACAUGUCUUAUUAUGAUGAUUUCUGAUGAGAUUAUCAAUCUAAAAUUAAACUUGCAAUUUGUUGUCUUCUUGGGUUUUUGUUUGUUUGUUUUUUUUUUUUAGAAAGGAAGAUCUAGGAAUAGUUAUAAAGACGCUAUGUCCUUUGUAUUUUUGGCAAGAAAAGGGGAAUGACCUUUUGCCUUGUCUCAUUUUUUCUACAUUAAGUCGUCAAUUCUUAACACUCCAUUAAAAUUCAACCUCCGGUGUGGCAAACAUCAAAAGUUCAGUUCACCAUCUCGCAUGAUGUGUUCAGUUUUUAGUUUGCGAUUAGUAACUUUAUAGGAAAUAAGAUAAUCGAACGUAUAUAACAGUUGGUACGCUCGCUUUCAGAAAAUGAUUUCUACUUUUUGCAAAGGCAUUUCAGGGCACUGUUUUCAGUCAAAUGUCACAUUGCCACGUAAAAAACAAAUGAGAUUUCAUUUCAGUGUAACUAGUGCUAAGCACUGACGUGACAACUGGAUUUUGAUGUUGGCAGGUGCCAAUUUUGAGCGUCUUUCUGUUUUGAGCGUGAUAGGAUAAUCUGAAUUUCGUGAAGUGGAAAAUAGGUAUAAAACAUUGCAAAGCUCGUCGUAGCCUGAGCUUCACUUCAUUAUACGUGUACUGCUGCCUAGACCUUUUAGCAUUGUUUGUCGAAGUAUAUGCGACAUUCAACUUAUUGUAAGCAGAUUGAUUGCGAUCUGGGUUGGAGAAGUUGACUUGAAAUAGUAAUCUUAUGUUAAUAGGACAAAUGUUGGAAUGUGAUUAAAGUAUUAUGCACACAUAUAUGGAAUAGCAAAGAUAAUGUGCAUGUUGUACGCCUGUAUAAUGUGGCCCACCAUUCCCAAACCAGGUCAAAUAUUAAGCUGUAUAGGCAUGAUCAAUGCCAAUUCCACUACUUUCACUAACCAAAACUCUGAAAGCUCUCUGUCCAUUUUUUUCCCCUUGGACCACUUUCAAGUGUAAAUCUGAAAAGCUUGGAGGGAAAUUCUCAGUAAUUAAAAUAGCCCUCUUCAGCCUGGUUAUGGGGAUAUCUGGUUUCAAAGUAAUUCGAAUUUACAAUGUAAAUGUAUCUUCUCUUUAUUACAAAAAGUUCGUCAUAUUCAAUUUACUUCCUGAAUGGCCAUUUGGAUAUCAUCAUUCACAGUCACUAAAUGUUUUGAUUUUGUUUAUUUUAUUUUCCGAUUUGUUGGAUUUAAUUGGUAAAAGUAAGUAGAAUUGGUUUAUAAGUAGAAGUAGUUACAUUGCUUAUCUAUGAGAAAUGUGCGUUGUAAAGCGUUAAUCAAACCAAUAGGCUCCUGUUUCUUCAUUACGCUACUUUGUUUUAGAAAUUGUAAAAAAACAAAUAUUAUUGCAUUGAAAUUGCAUCCGUUUUCCACAUCCGUCGACCUAAGCAAUUUGGGCAUAAUACAAAUGUUAUUACAAAAAUCACUUGGGAUUCCUGGGAAUCCUAUUCAGAAUAUGUACCAAAAUGAUGAAACGAAGUUAACGGAGCAUAAAACAAUCGGUGCUGAGUACUUAGAAUAGAGUGGUGGUUUCCGAGGAGUUUCUCUAAACAAAUUCUGUUCGGAUAGAAACGGCUUGUAUUGUAAAGUUUGAGAAUGGAAAAUUUAGCAAAUGAGCUUAUAACGGAACAGUGGGCCUAAGCUUCAGUGAUACUGUGUGAUCCAGAAUUUACUUUCAUGUUGGAGCAAAUUACAUUGUGAAAAAAAUUUCUCAAUUCAAUUUGGCCCAAUUUAAUCACUAAAGACAGAGAAUAAUGCUUUUGUAAGCCUUUGCUAAUUGGUGUUCAUAUGUUUUUUUAGAAAAAAAUAGUUGAGGUACACAUAUAAGCCUAUUUAGCGCUAUAUUAGACUACCGCAGUAGCCAGGUAUAGCCUCUCGUUGCAAAUUUGUCGAAAAUAAAGCUUUUGAUGAAAAUUC